RNAcentral lists this ribosomal RNA (468 nucleotides) under uncultured bacterium. Its description in RNAcentral is "partial 16S ribosomal RNA". It matches the Rfam family "Bacterial small subunit ribosomal RNA", at positions 28 to 507 of the family's 1533-position model. The record is from RNAcentral.
GACGAACGCUGGCGGCGUGCUUAACACAUGCAAGUCGAACGGAAAGGCCCUGCUUUUGUGGGGUGCUCGAGCGGCGAACGGGUGAGUAACACGUGAGUAACCUGCCCUUGACUUUGGGAUAACUUCAGGAAACUGGGGCUAAUACCGGAUAGGAGCUCCUGCUGCAUGGUGGGGGUUGGAAAGUUUCGGCCGUUGGGGAUGGACUCGCGGCUUAUCAGCUUGUUGGUGGGGUAGUGGCUUACCAAGGCUUUGACGGGUAGCCGGCCUGAGAGGGUGACCGGCCACAUUGGGACUGAGAUACGGCCCAGACUCCUACGGGAGGCAGCAGUGGGGAAUAUUGCACAAUGGGCGGAAGCCUGAUGCAGCAACGCCGCGUGCGGGAUGACGGCCUUCGGGUUGUAAACCGCUUUCGCCUGUGACGAAGCGUGAGUGACGGUAAUGGGUAAAGAAGCACCGGCUAACUACGUG